CGGCAAUAGCUCAAAUUUGAAAUCUGGCUCCUUCGGGGUCCGAGUUGUAAUUUGCAGAGGGUGCUUUGGCGUUGGCAUCGGCCUAAGUUCCUUGGAACAGGGCGUCGCAGAGGGUGAGAACCCCGUACGUGGCUGCCUGCCUUCGCCGUGUAAAGCCCCUUCGA
Molecule: ribosomal RNA, 164 nt
Filed under: Anteaglonium sp.
Lineage: Eukaryota; Fungi; Ascomycota; Dothideomycetes; Pleosporales; Anteagloniaceae
Description: partial large subunit ribosomal RNA
Rfam family: Eukaryotic large subunit ribosomal RNA
Source: RNAcentral